Molecule: small RNA, 827 nt
Filed under: Pan troglodytes (chimpanzee)
Lineage: Eukaryota; Metazoa; Chordata; Mammalia; Primates; Hominidae
Description: retained intron
Source: RNAcentral
GUGGCUGCUGCGGAUGGAGGGACCGCUGAUGGUGGUUUGCCUUCUCCCCGGCAGAUCUGUAUCUUCGUCGGGGAGACGCUGCUGUUUUCUAACUGGGCCAUCACUGCAGACAUCCUCAUGUACGUGGUCAUCCCCACGCGGCGCGCCACUGCCGUGGCCUUGCAGAGCUUCACCUCCCACCUGCUGGGGGACGCCGGGAGCCCCUACCUCAUUGGCUUUGGUGAACCAGCUGACGAUGCCGCCCGCAUCUGUGAAAGUCUGAGGUGGUGCCAUUGGGACAAUGAAGAACCCACACUCCCACCUCGUCUGGGAGGUGUCCUACAGCGUCCGGGACCGGCUGGGCUGCCCCAAAGCUUUCUGUGUGAUCCACGGCUAGGCACCCACCCUCUCUGGCCCAGGCCUGCUGAGUGGCCCUGGCAUCAAGAAGAGGCUGUGUCCUCAGUUACCCUGGAAGGAUGUGUGUGUUGGAGCCACACGGUUGGACAGAUUCCCAGCCCUAGGUUUGGACCGCAGGGCCCCUGGGGCCAAGGAAGAAGACAGCCCCAAGUGGGUGUCCGGGGAGAGCCUGGCCUGCCACCAGCUUAUGUGAUCUUGGGCAAGUCCCUGCCCUCCCUGGAACGAAGGGCCAGGGGGCUGGACUUUCCCACACAACUUUCUGGGCAAAGCACGAUCUGCAGCUUUGAAGACUCAACAGACCCUGGACCAUACAGAGAGCAGGUGGCCCAGGCCUCAGGGCGGCAGUCCCGGCUUUGAGACUCACGCGAGGGCCUGGUGUGCAGGGACCACUGCUCAGCUGGGCCUCGGACCUUGGGGAUAUUGGACUCAAC